AAGUCGAUAGCUCAGUUGGUAGAGCGGUGGACUGUAGAUCCAUAGGUCGCUGGUUCGAAUCCGGCUCGACGGA
RNAcentral lists this transfer RNA (73 nucleotides) under Dermacentor silvarum. RNAcentral describes it as "transfer RNA tyrosine (anticodon GUA)". It matches the Rfam family "tRNA". Rfam says of the family: Transfer RNA (tRNA) molecules are approximately 80 nucleotides in length. Their secondary structure includes four short double-helical elements and three loops (D, anti-codon, and T loops). The record is from RNAcentral. Lineage: Eukaryota; Metazoa; Arthropoda; Arachnida; Ixodida; Ixodidae.